UGAGUCACAUCGCAGAGGAUGUGGGGCGCAUCGUCAAGAAGAGUAAGGAUCUGGAGCAACAGCUGCAGGAGGAGCUGCUGGAGGUGGUGUCGGAGCUUCAGACGGCCAAGAAGACGUACCACGUGUACCACAUGGA
Neomonachus schauinslandi (Hawaiian monk seal) is the source of this 136-nucleotide long non-coding RNA. RefSeq lists it as uncharacterized. The transcript is spliced from 3 exons. NCBI's taxonomy places the organism in Eukaryota, Metazoa, Chordata, Mammalia, Carnivora, Phocidae. The record is from RefSeq and is a predicted model, not a curated record.